GACGAACGCUGGCGGCGUGCCUAAUACAUGCAAGUAGAACGCUGAAGGAGGAGCUUGCUUCUCUGGAUGAGUUGCGAACGGGUGAGUAACGCGUAGGUAACCUGCCUGGUAGCGGGGGAUAACUAUUGGAAACGAUAGCUAAUACCGCAUAAGAGUAGAUGUUGCAUGACAUUUGCUUAAAAGGUGCAAUUGCAUCACUACCAGAUGGACCUGCGUUGUAUUAGCUAGUUGGUGGGGUAACGGCUUACCAAGGCGACGAUACAUAGCCGACCUGAGAGGGUGAUCGGCCACACUGGGACUGAGACACGGCCCAGACUCCUACGGGAGGCAGCAGUAGGGAAUCUUCGGCAAUGGACGGAAGUCUGACCGAGCAACGCCGCGUGAGUGAAGAAGGUUUUCGGAUCGUAAAGCUCUGUUGUAAGAGGAGAACGAGUGUGAGAGUGGAAAGUUCACACUGUGACGGUAUCUUACCAGAAAGGGACGGCUAACUACGUG
RNAcentral lists this ribosomal RNA (495 nucleotides) under uncultured bacterium. RNAcentral's name for it is "partial 16S ribosomal RNA". It matches the Rfam family "Bacterial small subunit ribosomal RNA", at positions 28 to 507 of the family's 1533-position model. The record is from RNAcentral.